GGAGUUUGGGCCGUGUCUCAGUCCCAAUGUGGCCGUUCAUCCUCUCAGACCGGCUACUGAUCAUGGCCUUGGUGGGCCGUUACCUCACCAACCAGCUAAUCAGACGCGGGCCCAUCUUCCAGCGAUGGCUUGCAAGCAGAGGCCAUCUUUCAUCCCUCCUCCAUGCGGUGGAGGGAUCGUAUUCGGUAUUAGCAUCCCUUUCGGAAUGUUGUCCCCAUCUGGAGGGCAGGUUGCCCACGCGUUACUCACCCGUUCGCCACUAAGAACUUACCGAAAUAAGUUCUCCGUUCGACUUGCAUGUGUUAAGCACGCCGCCAGCGUUCGUCCUGAGCCAGGAUCAAACUACU
RNAcentral lists this ribosomal RNA (347 nucleotides) under uncultured Acidaminococcus sp. RNAcentral's name for it is "partial 16S ribosomal RNA". Lineage: Bacteria; Bacillati; Bacillota; Negativicutes; Acidaminococcales; Acidaminococcaceae. The record is from RNAcentral.